AGAAUCAACGCUGGCGGCGUGCCUAACACAUGCAAGUCGAACGAGAAAGUGGUAGCAAUACCAUGAGUACAGUGGCGCACGGGUGAGUAACACGUGACUAACCUACCCUGGAGUGGGGGAUAACUGAGGGAAACCUUAGCUAAUACCGCAUAAUACCUACGGGUCAAAGGAGCAAUUCGCUUCAGGAGGGGGUCGCGGCCGAUUAGUUAGUUGGCGGGGUAAUGGCCCACAAGACAGUGAUCGGUAUCCGGCCUGAGAGGGCGCACGGACACACUGGAACUGAAACACGGUCCAGACUCCUACGGGAGGCAGCAGUGGGAAUUUUGCGCAAUGGGGGAAACCCUGACGCAGCAACGCCGCGUGGAGGAUGAAGUCCUUCGGGACGUAAACUCCUUUCGAUCGGGACGAUAAUGACGGUACCGGAAGAAGAAGCCCCGGCUAACUUCGUGCCAGCAGCCGC
This 460-nucleotide ribosomal RNA is filed under the name uncultured bacterium. RNAcentral's name for it is "SSU rRNA". It matches the Rfam family "Bacterial small subunit ribosomal RNA", at positions 26 to 518 of the family's 1533-position model. The record is from RNAcentral.